RNAcentral lists this ribosomal RNA (207 nucleotides) under uncultured bacterium. Its description in RNAcentral is "partial 16S ribosomal RNA". It matches the Rfam family "Bacterial small subunit ribosomal RNA", at positions 568 to 774 of the family's 1533-position model. The record is from RNAcentral.
AGCGCAGGUGGUUGUAUAAGUCUGAAGUAAAAGGCAGUGGCUCAACCAUUGUGUGCUUUGGAAACUGUACAACUUGAGUGCAGAAGGGGAGAGUGGAAUUCCAUGUGUAGCGGUGAAAUGCGUAGAUAUAUGGAGGAACACCGGUGGCGAAAGCGGCUCUCUGGUCUGUAACUGACACUGAGGCUCGAAAGGCCAGGGGAGCGAACG